UCGAGAGUUUGAUCCUGGCUCAGAACGAACGCUGGCGGCAGGCUUAACACAUGCAAGUCGAACGCCCCGCAAGGGGAGUGGCAGACGGGUGAGUAACGCGUGGGAACAUACCCUUUCCUGCGGAAUAGCUCCGGGAAACUGGAAUUAAUACCGCAUACGCCCUACGGGGGAAAGAUUUAUCGGGGAAGGAUUGGCCCGCGUUGGAUUAGCUAGUUGGUGGGGUAAAGGCCUACCAAGGCGACGAUCCAUAGCUGGUCUGAGAGGAUGAUCAGCCACAUUGGGACUGAGACACGGCCCAAACUCCUACGGGAGGCAGCAGUGGGGAAUAUUGGACAAUGGGCGCAAGCCUGAUCCAGCCAUGCCGCGUGAGUGAUGAAGGCCUUAGGGUUGUAAAGCUCUUUCACCGAUGAAGAUAAUGACGGUAGUCGGAGAAGAAGCCCCGGCUAACUUCGUGCCAGCAGCCGCGGUAAUACGAAGGGGGCUAGCGUUGUUCGGAAUUACUGGGCGUAAAGCGCACGUAGGCGGAUAUUUAAGUCAGGGGUGAAAUCCCGCAGCUCAACUGCGGAACUGCCUUUGAUACUGGGUAUCUUGAGUAUGGAAGAGGUAAGUGGAAUUCCGAGUGUAGAGGUGAAAUUCGUAGAUAUUCGGAGGAACACCAGUGGCGAAGCGGCUUACUGGUCCAUUACUGACGCUGAGGUGCGAAAGCGUGGGGAGC
Molecule: ribosomal RNA, 715 nt
Filed under: uncultured bacterium
Lineage: Bacteria
Description: bacterial SSU rRNA
Rfam family: Bacterial small subunit ribosomal RNA
Source: RNAcentral